GGCAGCAGCUAAGAAUAUUCCGCAAUGGACGAAAGUCUGACGGAGCGACGCCGCGUGGAUGAUGAAGGCCGGAAGGUUGUAAAAUCCUUUUAUGACUGAGGAAUAAGUGAAGUGAGAGAAACGCUUCAUGGUGACUGUAGGUCAUGAAUAAGCAACGGCUAAUUACGUGCCAGCAGCCGCGGUAACACGUAAGUUGCGAGCGUUGUUCGGAAUUAUUGGGCGUAAAGGGCAUGUAGGCGGUUCUGCAAGUCUGGUGUGAAAUACCGGGGCUCAACCCCGGAACUGCGUUGGAAACUGCAGAACUUGAGUCGCUGAGGGGCAGCCAGAAUUCCAGGUGUAGGGGUGAAAUCUGUAGAUAUCUGGAAGAAUACCAAUGGCGAAGGCAGGCUGCCAGCAGAUGACUGACGCUGAGGUGCGAAGGUGCGGGGAGCAAACAGGAUUAGAUACCCUGGUAGUCCGCACAGUCAACUAUGUACACUAGGUGUCCGUUCAUGAGAAUGGGUGCCGAAGCAAACGCGAUAAGUGUACCGCCUGGGGAGUAUGCCCGCAAGGGUGAAACUCAAGGAAUUGACGG
RNAcentral lists this ribosomal RNA (574 nucleotides) under uncultured rumen bacterium. RNAcentral describes it as "bacterial SSU rRNA". It matches the Rfam family "Bacterial small subunit ribosomal RNA", at positions 347 to 916 of the family's 1533-position model. The record is from RNAcentral.